RNAcentral lists this ribosomal RNA (966 nucleotides) under marine metagenome. RNAcentral describes it as "bacterial SSU rRNA". It matches the Rfam family "Bacterial small subunit ribosomal RNA", at positions 8 to 914 of the family's 1533-position model. The record is from RNAcentral.
AGAGUUUGAUCCUGACUCCGAAUGAAGGCUAGGUGUAUGCUUGACACAUGCGAGUCGAAUGUGAAAGUAAUUAUUACAUUUGCAUGGCGUACGGGUGAGUAAGACUUGAGAAUUUGCCUAAUAAUCUGGAAUAAAUUAUAUUCUUUAAGAAUUUAUAGAUAGUUACCUAUCAUAUAAAGUAAUAAUACCAGAUAAUAAAUAAAGACUAAGUCGUUAUUAGAUAAGCUCAGGUAGGAUUAGGUAGUUGGUGUGGUAAAAGCGCACCAAGCCUAAGAUCCUUAGCUGGUCUGAGAGGAUGAUCAGCCACACUGGGACUGAGAUACGGCCCAGACUCCAUUAGGAGGCAGCAGUGAGGAAUAUUGGACAAUGAGCGAAAGCUUGAUCCAGCAAUACACCGUGAGUGAUGACAGCUUUUAGGUUGUAAAACUCUUUCAUCAAGGAAGAUAAUGACAUUACUUGAAAAAGAAGCCCCGGCAAAUUUCGUGCCAGCAGCCGCGGUAAUACGAAAGGGGCAAGUCUUAUUCGAAAUUAUUGGGCGUAAAGGGUAAGCAGGCGAUUUAUUAAGUUAUUUGUUAAAGGCCUUAGCCCAACUAAGGUAAAGCACUUAAUACUGAUAAAAUAGAAUAAGAUAGAGGAUAGUGGAAUUUCUAAAGGAGGAUUAAGCCCUGUAGAUAUUAGAAGGAACAUCAGUAGCGAAGGCGGCUAUCUGGAUCUUUAUUGACGCUGAGAUACUAAGGCGUAGGUAGCGAAUAGGAUUAGAUACCCUAGUAGUCUGCGCAGUCAACGAUGAGUGUUAAAUCUUGGUAAAUUCUAAUAAGUAGCUAGUAAGAUCGACUAGUAGUAUGUGUUAUUAUACCCAUACUUAUCUUCUGAAAGUAAAACUAUUAUUUAUCAGGGUUACAGCUAACGCUUUAAACACUCCGCCUGGGGAGUACGGCCGCAAGGUUAAAACUUAAAGGAAUUGAC